UACGUAGGGUCCGAGCGUUGUCCGGAGUUACUGGGCGUAAAGGGCGCGCAGGCGGCGGUGCUGGCCCGGCGUGAAAGCCCCCGGCUCAACCGGGGAGGGUCGUCGGGGACCGCACCGCUUGAGGGCGGUAGGGGCCGGUGGAAUGCCUGGUGUAGUGGUGAAAUGCGUAGAGAUCAGGCAGAACACCUGGGGCGAAGGCGGCCGGCUGGGCCGACCCUGACGCUGAGGCGCGAAAGCGUGGGUAGCAAACAGG
RNAcentral lists this ribosomal RNA (253 nucleotides) under uncultured bacterium. RNAcentral describes it as "partial 16S ribosomal RNA". It matches the Rfam family "Bacterial small subunit ribosomal RNA", at positions 524 to 776 of the family's 1533-position model. The record is from RNAcentral.